Long non-coding RNA from Oncorhynchus tshawytscha (Chinook salmon), 747 nucleotides. The record is from Ensembl. NCBI's taxonomy places the organism in Eukaryota, Metazoa, Chordata, Actinopteri, Salmoniformes, Salmonidae.
CAGAAAGUUAGUUCACACCUCGGAUUUUGAUGCCAACACAGACGCUCAGUGGGUGACCGGUAACAAUGAUUCAACCAAGCUGUUCCAGGCCUGGAGUGGCACGCUGGAACUUCCAGAGGCUUGUAGACCUGAAGCAGUGUGAUGUGAUCCAGAUCUGACAUCCCUAUUAGCUCAACCACAGUCCUCACAGCUGAAGUCGUCUGCCCCUGCACCUGCUACACCAGCCACGACAGGUGAUACAGAUCUGCCACCCCCAGCAGUUCAGCUGCAGUCACAGCAGUCCUCUGCUGUGGUAUUUCAUUUACCGGCUGCACCAGUUCCUACUACACUGGCCAUGAAGGGAGAUACUAUUGAGGAGACCCAGAUGGAUACAGAUCUGCCAUGCACUCCACCCAGUGCCUGACAGACUCAUCUCUGAGAAAGCAGAGAUGGGUGGCUGACAAGGAAAAAUAAAACACAACACACACUCUCUCUCUCUGUCAUACACACUCACACACGUUAUCCCCAGUGUAAAUGAGUUGUAUUUACUUGUUUAUUUUAUGUUUGCUCAAUUUGAUUUUAGGAUUUGAGAUAUCUAUUCCUACAUAUCCAUUCUCAAUAUCUACAUAAUUACUCUAAAUAUCUAUCAAAUCAAAGUGUUAUUGAUAUUGUAAAAGACUUGCUUAAUUUGUAUAGUUUGAGGAAAUUCUGUGUGCUUUUUAAAAACAUGCCUCCCUCUCACACACACAUUAGACCCAAUGUAAAUAC